RNAcentral lists this ribosomal RNA (700 nucleotides) under uncultured bacterium. RNAcentral describes it as "bacterial SSU rRNA". It matches the Rfam family "Bacterial small subunit ribosomal RNA", at positions 15 to 707 of the family's 1533-position model. The record is from RNAcentral.
GAUCCUGGCUCAGAUUGAACGCUGGCGGCAGGCCUAACACAUGCAAGUCGAGCGGCAACAUUUCUAGCUUGCUAGAAGAUGACGAGCGGCGGACGGGUGAGUAAUACUUGGGGAUCUGCCUGAUGGCGGGGGACAACCACUGGAAACGGUGGCUAAUACCGCAUAAUGCCUACGGGCCAAAGUGUGGGACCUUCGGGCCACAUGCCAUCAGAUGAACCCAAGCGAGAUUAGCUAGUUGGUGAGGUAACGGCUCACCAAGGCGACGAUCCCUAGCUGUUCUGAGAGGAUGAUCAGCCACACUGGGACUGAGACACGGCCCAGACUCCUACGGGAGGCAGCGGUGGGGAAUAUUGGACAAUGGGCGCAAGCCUGAUCCAGCCAUGCCGCGUGUGUGAAGAAGGCCUUCGGGUUGUAAAGCACUUUCAGUGGUGAGGAAGGCGUUGUAGUAAUAGCUGCAACGAUUGACGUUAGCCACAGAAGAAGCACCGGCUAACUCCGUGCCAGCAGCCGCGGUAAUACAGAGGGUGCGAGCGUUAAUCGGAAUUACUGGGCGUAAAGCGCACGUAGGCGGCUUGUUAAGCAAGAUGUGAAAGCCCAGGGCUCAACCUUGGAAUUGCAUUUUGAACUGGCAAGCUAGAGUUUUGAAGAGGGUGGUAGAAUUUCCAGUGUAGCGGUGAAAUGCGUAGAUAUUGGAAGGAAU